RNAcentral lists this ribosomal RNA (356 nucleotides) under Pentanemus quinquarius. RNAcentral's name for it is "partial 12S ribosomal RNA". It matches the Rfam family "Bacterial small subunit ribosomal RNA", at positions 804 to 1360 of the family's 1533-position model. The record is from RNAcentral. Lineage: Eukaryota; Metazoa; Chordata; Actinopteri; Polynemidae.
AAACAUUGAUUGCAAGUACACUAUCAUCCGCCAGGGAACUACUGACACUAGUUUGAAACCCAAAGGACUUGGCGGUGCUCUAUAACCCCCUAGAGGAGCCUGUCCUAGAACCGAUAAUCCACGUUAAACCUCACCCUCCCUUGCUCUUCCCGCCUAUAUACCGCCGUCGUAAGCUUAUCCUGUGAAGGACAAAUAAUGAGCAAAAUUGGCCCCUCCCCCAGAACGUCAGGUCGAGGUGUAGCGAAUGGGAGGGGAAGAAAUGGGCUACAUUCGCUAAACGUACAGCGAAAACGAAUAACGCAUUGAAACAUGUGAUUGAAGGAGGAUUUAGUAGUAAGUAGAAGACAGAGUAUUUU